AUGGAAUUAAGAUUUCCCAGGUUUAGCCAAGGCUUAGCUCAGGACCCCACUACUCGUCGUAUUUGGUUUGUUAUUGCUACCGCACAUGAUUUCAAAAGUCAUGACGAUAUUACUGAAGAACGUCUUUAUCAGUACAUUUUUGCUUCUCACUUUGGGCAAUUAGCAAUAAUCUUUCUAUGGACGUCCGGAAAUCUGUUUCAUGUAGCUUGGCAAGGAAAUUUUGAAUCAUGGAUACAGGAUCCUUUACACGUAAGACCUAUUGCUCAUGCGAUUUGGGAUCCUCAUUUUGGUCAACCCGCUGUGGAAGCCUUUACUCGAGGAGGUGCUGCUGGUCCAGUGAAUAUAGCUUAUUCUGGAGUUUAUCAGUGGUGGUAUACAAUAGGAUUACGCACCAAUGAGGAUCUUUAUAUUGGAGCUCUUUUUCUAUUAUUUCUUUCUAUGUUGUCCUUAAUAGCGGGUUGGUUACAUCUACAACCCAAAUGGAAACCAAGCCUUUCGUGGUUCAAAAACGCGGAAUCUCGUCUCAAUCAUCAUUUGUCAGGACUUUUCGGGGUAAGUUCUUUGGCUUGGACAGGACAUUUAGUUCAUGUUGCUAUUCCCGCAUCCAGGGGGUACGUUCGAUGGAAUAAUUUCUUAGAUGUAUUACCCUAUCCCCAGGGGUUGGGACCCCUUUUGACGGGUCAAUGGAAUCUUUAUGCCCAAAACCCUGAUUCGAGUAAUCAUUUAUUUGGUAUCGCUCAAGGAGCGGGAACUGCCAUUCUAACUCUUCUUGGGGGAUUCCAUCCACAAACGCAAAGUUUGUGGCUGACCGAUAUGGCUCACCAUCAUUUAGCUAUUGCAUUUAUUUUUCUCAUUGCCGGUCACAUGUAUCGAACUAACUUCAGAAUUGGGCACAGUAUUAAAGAUCUUUUAGAAGCGCAUACUCCUCCGGGGGAUCGAUUAGGGCGUGGGCAUAAGGGCCUUUAUGACACAAUCAACAAUUCGAUUCAUUUUCAGUUAGGUCUUGCUCUAGCUUCUUUAGGGGUUAUUACUUCCUUAGUAGCUCAACAUAUGUACUCUUUACCUCCUUAUGCAUUCAUAGCACAAGACUUUACUACUCAAGCUGCUUUAUAUACUCAUCACCAAUAUAUUGCAGGGUUCAUCAUGACAGGGGCUUUUGCUCAUGGAGCUAUUUUUUUCAUUAGGGAUUACAAUCCGGAACAGAAUGAGGAUAAUGUAUUGGCAAGAAUGUUAGACCAUAAAGAAGCUAUCAUAUCUCAUUUAAGUUAGGCUAGCCUCUUUCUAGGAUUCCAUACCUUGGGCCUUUAUGUUCAUAACGACGUCAUGCUUGCUUUUGGUACUCCAGAAAAGCAAAUCUUGAUCGAACCUAUAUUUGCCCAAUGGAUACAAUCUGCUCAUGGCAAGACGAUAUAUGGGUUCGAUAUACUCUUAUCUUCAACGAAUGGCCCCGCUUUCAAUGCGGGUCGAAGCCUAUGGUUGCCCGGAUGGUUGAAUGCUGUUAAUGAGAAUAGUAAUUCGCUUUUCUUAACAAUAGGACCUGGGGAUUUCUUGGUUCAUCAUGCUAUCGCUCUACGUUUGCAUACAACUACAUUGAUUUUAGUAAAGGGCGCUUUAGAUGCACGCGGUUCCAAAUUAAUGCCAGAUAAAAAGGAUUUUGGAUAUAGUUUUCCUUGUGACGGCCCAGGGCGCGGCGGUACUUGUGAUAUUUCUGCUUGGGACGCAUUUUAUUUGGCAGUUUUCUGGAUGUUAAGUACCAUUGGGUGGGUUACUUUUUAUUGGCAUUGGAAACAUAUCACAUUAUGGCAGGGCAACGUUUCACAAUUUAAUGAAUCCUCCACUUAUUUGAUGGGAUGGUUAAGAGAUUACCUAUGGUUAAACUCUUCACAACUUAUCAAUGGAUAUAAUCCUUUUGGGAUGAAUAGUUUAUCGGUAUGGGCGUGGAUGUUCUUAUUUGGACAUCUUGUUUGGGCUACUGGAUUUAUGUUCUUAAUUUCCUGGCGGGGGUAUUGGCAGGAAUUAAUUGAGACUUCAGCAUGGGCUCAUGAACGCACACCUUUAGCUAAUUUAAUUCGCUGGAGAGAUAAGCCCGUGGCUCUUUCCAUUGUGCAAGCAAGAUUGGUUGGAUUAGCUCAUUUUUUCGUGGGUUAUAUAUCCACUUAUGCAGCUUUCUUGAUUGCCUCAACAUCAGGAAAGUUUGGUUAA
RNAcentral lists this ribosomal RNA (2202 nucleotides) under Triticum aestivum (bread wheat). RNAcentral describes it as "partial small subunit ribosomal RNA". The record is from RNAcentral. Lineage: Eukaryota; Viridiplantae; Streptophyta; Magnoliopsida; Poales; Poaceae.